This 264-nucleotide long non-coding RNA is filed under the name Lathyrus oleraceus (garden pea). RNAcentral's name for it is "Pisum sativum (pea) long non-coding RNA (PSAT_LNC036952)". Lineage: Eukaryota; Viridiplantae; Streptophyta; Magnoliopsida; Fabales; Fabaceae. The record is from RNAcentral.
CCGAUUCAAAGCCCAUUGGUGACAUAUUUUAAUUCAUCAAAAAUUCAUCUUUUAACUCCAUUUAUACCAUCCCUAACCAUCUUUAAUUCAUUCCAUCAACCCAACCAACAUGAGCAUCAUGUAAACAAGGAACAACACCUUAAUCCAUCACACCAUAACAUCCAGUCAUAUGGCAACAUGGAAGAUCACAGAUAACAUGGAUGAUGAGUAGAAAAUGGUGAUGAUGAGCUUUUCCUUCUUCUCCUCCAAUCCCUUCUUCCUUCU